AAAGGGAGACCUAAUUCAGGUAGGAGACGAAAAAAAAGUAGUCCCAACCAAGAAUCAAUCCCAAAAGGUCGGAGCGAGGUAUGAGGCUUUCAAACUAGGUUCUGGGUUCAUAAAAGACCUGAAUCAGGAACAAGGGCUAUUAGCUCAGGUGGUUAGAGCGCACCCCUGAUAAGGGUGAGGUCCCUGGUUCGAGUCCAGGAUGGCCCACCUGCACAGGUGGCAAAACCAAAGAAAAGAAGCUCCGAAUCAGCACCUUAUCUUACUUAUAUAGUAAGAGAGAAUGCUGGCUCUGAGUUCAGAGUCCAGAGGAACCUUGAAAACUGCAUAGAGCUAGGUGAAAAAGCCAAAAAAGAAGACCGCAAG
This 363-nucleotide transfer RNA is filed under the name uncultured Microcystis sp. RNAcentral describes it as "partial 16S-23S ribosomal RNA intergenic spacer". The stretch from base 134 to 207 matches the Rfam family "tRNA". The record is from RNAcentral. Lineage: Bacteria; Bacillati; Cyanobacteriota; Cyanophyceae; Chroococcales; Microcystaceae.